RNAcentral lists this ribosomal RNA (107 nucleotides) under Caerostris darwini. The record is from RNAcentral. Lineage: Eukaryota; Metazoa; Arthropoda; Arachnida; Araneae; Araneidae.
CCGUACCAUGCUGAAUAUACCGGUUCUCGUUAGAUCACCGAAGUCAAGCAGCAUUGGGCGCGGUCAGUACUUGGGAGGGUGACCACCUGGGAACACUGCGUGCCGUU